GUGCCCGUAGCUCAGCUGGAUAGAGCGUCUGACUACGGAUCAGAAGGCCGGGGGUUCGAAUCCUCCCGGGCACG
RNAcentral lists this transfer RNA (74 nucleotides) under Rhodothermales bacterium. RNAcentral's name for it is "tRNA-Arg". It matches the Rfam family "tRNA". Rfam says of the family: Transfer RNA (tRNA) molecules are approximately 80 nucleotides in length. Their secondary structure includes four short double-helical elements and three loops (D, anti-codon, and T loops). Further hydrogen bonds mediate the characteristic L-shaped molecular structure. tRNAs have two regions of fundamental functional importance: the anti-codon, which is responsible for specific mRNA codon recognition, and the 3' end, to which the tRNAs corresponding amino acid is attached (by aminoacyl-tRNA synthetases). tRNAs cope with the degeneracy of the genetic code in two manners: having more than one tRNA (with a specific anti-codon) for a particular amino acid; and 'wobble' base-pairing, i.e. permitting non-standard base-pairing at the 3rd anti-codon position. Lineage: Bacteria; Pseudomonadati; Rhodothermota; Rhodothermia; Rhodothermales. RNAcentral also lists the same sequence under 4 other names. The record is from RNAcentral.